CUCUUGCCAUCGGAUGUGCCCAGAUGGGAUUAGCUAGUAGGUGGGGUAACGGCUCACCUAGGCGACGAUCCCUAGCUGGUCUGAGAGGAUGACCAGCCACACUGGAACUGAGACACGGUCCAGACUCCUACGGGAGGCAGCAGUGGGGAAUAUUGCACAAUGGGCGCAAGCCUGAUGCAGCCAUGCCGCGUGUAUGAAGAAGGCCUUCGGGUUGUAAAGUACUUUCAGCGGGGAGGAAGGCGAUAAGGUUAAUAACCUUGUCGAUUGACGUUACCCGCAGAAGAAGCACCGGCUAACUCCGUGCCAGCAGCCGCGGUAAUACGGAGGGUGCAAGCGUUAAUCGGAAUUACUGGGCGUAAAGCGCACGCAGGCGGUCUGUCAAGUCGGAUGUGAAAUCCCCGGGCUCAACCUGGGAACUGCAUUCGAAACUGGCAGGCUAGAGUCUUGUAGAGGGGGGUAGAAUUCCAGGUGUAGCGGUGAAAUGCGUAGAGAUCUGGAGGAA
Molecule: ribosomal RNA, 502 nt
Filed under: Enterobacter sp.
Lineage: Bacteria; Pseudomonadati; Pseudomonadota; Gammaproteobacteria; Enterobacterales; Enterobacteriaceae
Description: bacterial SSU rRNA
Rfam family: Bacterial small subunit ribosomal RNA
Source: RNAcentral